This 253-nucleotide ribosomal RNA is filed under the name uncultured bacterium. Its description in RNAcentral is "partial 16S ribosomal RNA". It matches the Rfam family "Bacterial small subunit ribosomal RNA", at positions 524 to 776 of the family's 1533-position model. The record is from RNAcentral.
UACGGAGGAUCCGAGCGUUAUCCGGAUUUAUUGGGUUUAGAGGGAGCGUAGGCGGGUUGUUAAGUCAGUUGUGAAAGUUUGCGGCUCAACCGUAAAAUUGCAGUUGAUACUGGCAUCCUUGAGUACAGUAGAGGUAGGCGGAAUUCGUGGUGUAGCGGUGAAAUGCUUAGAUAUCACGAAGAACUCCGAUUGCGAAGGCAGCCUGCUGGACUGUAACUGACGCUGAUGCUCGAAAGUGUGGGUAUCAAACAGG